AACGAACGCUGGCGGCGUGGAUAAGACAUGCAAGUCGAACGCUUGCUUUAGGGUAGCAAUAUUCUGAAGCAGGAGUGGCGCAAGGGUGCGUAACACGUGGGUUAUUUGCCGUGAAGCUGGGAAUAACUCGUUGAAAGACGAGCUAAUACCCAAUGUGCUCCGCAAGGAGUAAAGCCGGGGACCGCAAGGCCUGGCACUUCACGAUAAGCCCGCGGCCUAUCAGCUAGUUGGCGGGGUAAAAGCCCACCAAGGCUAAGACGGGUAGCUGGUCUGAGAGGACGACCAGCCACACUGGAACUGAGACACGGUCCAGACACCUACGGGUGGCAGCAGUCGAGAAUUUUUCACAAUGGGCGAAAGCCUGAUGGAGCGACGCCGCGUGGGGGACGAAGGGCUUCGGCUCGUAAACCCCUGUCAUUUGCGAACAAUGGCGCCAACCUAAUACGUUGUCGUCUGAUAGUAGCAGAAGAGGAAGGGACGGCUAACUCUGUG
RNAcentral lists this ribosomal RNA (492 nucleotides) under uncultured organism. Its description in RNAcentral is "bacterial SSU rRNA". It matches the Rfam family "Bacterial small subunit ribosomal RNA", at positions 29 to 507 of the family's 1533-position model. The record is from RNAcentral.